Molecule: ribosomal RNA, 682 nt
Filed under: Stutzerimonas stutzeri
Lineage: Bacteria; Pseudomonadati; Pseudomonadota; Gammaproteobacteria; Pseudomonadales; Pseudomonadaceae
Description: bacterial SSU rRNA
Rfam family: Bacterial small subunit ribosomal RNA
Source: RNAcentral
GCUCUCUGAUUCAGCGGCGGACGGGUGAGUAAUGCCUAGGAAUCUGCCUGGUAGUGGGGGACAACGUUUCGAAAGGAACGCUAAUACCGCAUACGUCCUACGGGAGAAAGCAGGGGACCUUCGGGCCUUGCGCUAUCAGAUGAGCCUAGGUCGGAUUAGCUAGUUGGUGAGGUAAUGGCUCACCAAGGCUGCGAUCCGUAACUGGUCUGAGAGGAUGAUCAGUCACACUGGAACUGAGACACGGUCCAGACUCCUACGGGAGGCAGCAGUGGGGAAUAUUGGACAAUGGGCGAAAGCCUGAUCCAGCCAUGCCGCGUGUGUGAAGAAGGUCUUCGGAUUGUAAAGCACUUUAAGUUGGGAGGAAGGGCAGUAAGUUAAUACCUUGCUGUUUUGACGUUACCGACAGAAUAAGCACCGGCUAACUUCGUGCCAGCAGCCGCGGUAAUACGAAGGGUGCAAGCGUUAAUCGGAAUUACUGGGCGUAAAGCGCGCGUAGGUGGUUUGUUAAGUUGGAAGUGAAAGCCCCGGGCUCAACCUGGGAACUGCUUUCAAAACUGGCAAGCUAGAGUAUGGCAGAGGGUGGUGGAAUUUCCUGUGUAGCGGUGAAAUGCGUAGAUAUAGGAAGGAACACCAGUGGCGAAGGCGACCACCUGGGCUAAUACUGACACUGAGGUGCGAAAGC